GACGAACGCUGGCGGCGUGCCUAAUACAUGCAAGUAGAACGCUGAAGGAGGAGCUUGCUUCUCUGGAUGAGUUGCGAACGGGUGAGUAACGCGUAGGUAACCUGCCUGGUAGCGGGGGAUAACUAUUGGAAACGAUAGCUAAUACCGCAUAAUAGUAGAUGCUGCAUGACAUUUGCUUAAAAGGUGCAAUUGCAUCACUACCAGAUGGACCUGCGUUGUAUUAGCUAGUUGGUGGGGUAACGGCUCACCAAGGCGACGAUACAUAGCCGACCUGAGAGGGUGAUCGGCCGCACUGGGACUGAGACACGGCCCAGACUCCUACGGGAGGCAGCAGUAUGGAAUCUUCGGCAAUCGGCGGAAGUCUGACCGAGCAACGCCGCGUGAGUGAGGAAUGUUUUCGGAUCGUAAAGCUCUGUUGUAAGAGAAGAACGAGUGUGAGAGUGGAAAGUUCACACUGUGACGGUAUCUGACCAGAAAGGGACGGCUAACUACGUG
Molecule: ribosomal RNA, 495 nt
Filed under: uncultured bacterium
Lineage: Bacteria
Description: partial 16S ribosomal RNA
Rfam family: Bacterial small subunit ribosomal RNA
Source: RNAcentral